GGGGGCCCCCAUGGCUUCGGCCCGGCGGCCCCGGCGGCUCCACCCUGCGGGACCAGUACGGACCAGUAUAGACCAGUAUGGACCAGUAUGGAAUGGCAUGGACCGGUAUGGAGUGGUAUGGACUGGUAUGGACCAGUAUAGACCAGUAUAAACCAGUAUGGAACGGUAUGGACCGGUAUGGAACGGUAUGGAAUGGUAUAAACCAGUAUGGACUGGUAUGGACCAGUAUGGACCAGUAUAGACCAGUAUGGACCGUUAUGGAACGGUAUGGAACGGUAUGGACCAGUAUAAACCAGUUUGGAACAGUAUAGGAAUGGUAUGGAAUGGUAUGGACCAGUAUAAACCAGUAUGGAACGGUAUGGAAUGGUAUGGAAUGGUAUAAACUAGUAUGGACCAGUAUAGACCAGUAUAGACCAGUAUGAAAUGGUAUGGACCGGUAUAAUCUGGUACGGACUGGUAUAAACCAGUAUAAACCAGUAUAAAGUGGUAUGGACCAGUAUAAACCAGUAUGGACUGGUAUGGAAUGGUAUAAACCGGUAUGGACUGGUAUGGACCAGUAUAAACUGGUAUGGACCAGUAUGAACCAGUAUGGAAUGGUAUGGACCAGUAUGGACCGGUAUGAAGCAGUAUAAACCAGUAUGGACCAGUAUGGACUGGUAUGAACCAGUAUGGAAUGGUAUGAACCAGUACAAACCAGUAUAAACCAGUAUGGACCUGUAUGGACUGGUGCAGACCAGUAUAAACCAGUAUGAACGGGUAUGGACUGGUAUAAACCAGUAUGAACCAGUAUAGACCAGUACGGACCAGUAUAGACCAGUAUGGAACGGUAUGGACCAGUAUGAACCAGUAUGGAGUGGUAUGGAAUGGUACAAACCAGUAUGGACCAGUAUGGAAAGGAGAAUUCCCAGUAUUAACCAGUAUGGACCAGUACGGACCAGUAUGGGAAUGGGAACUCCCAGUAUGGACCAGUAUGGACCAGUAUAAACCGGUAUGGACCAGUGGUUCCCAGUAUGGCCCAGUGCCCUCCCAGUAUGAAAAUAUGAAUUCCCAGUCCCUCCCAGUCCCUCCCAGUCUGUCCCAGUGUUCCCAGUUUGCCCAGUUUGGCUCCCAGUCUGUCCCAGUGUUCCCAGUUUGGCUCUCCAUCCCUCCCAGUCCGGCCCAGUCCCUCCCAGUUUGCCCAGUUUGGUUCCUGGUGCUCCCAGUUUGGUUCCCAGUCCCUUCCAGUGUUCCCACUCUGUCCCAGUUUGGCUCCCAGUGUUCCCAGUUUGGCUCCCAGUUUGGUUCCCAGUUUAUCCCAGUCCAUCCCAGUUUGGCUCCCAGUCCAUCCCAGUUUAUCCCAGUCCAUCCCAGUCCAUCCCAGUCCAUCCCAGUUUGGCUCUCACCGCUCAGGGCGGGCCCAGGGCCUCUCCCGGGGCCGCUUUGUCCCGCGGGGCCGCCUUGGUCAGAGCCUUCUCCUGGGGACGGACGGACAGACGGACACGGGGACGGACAGAGGGACAGACGGACAGGGAGGGACAGACGGACAGGGAGGGACAGACGGACAGAGGGACAGACGGACAGAAGAAUGGACACGGGGACACACGGACGCACGGACACCGGGACACACGGACAGACAGAGGGACAUGUGUGACAGGGAGGGACAGACGGACACGGGGACAUGGGAACGGACACGGGGACAGACAGAGGGACACGGGGACAGACGGACAGAGGGACACGGGGAUGGACACAAGGACAGAUGGACACAGGGACAGGCAGAGACAGAGGGACGGGGGACACAGGGACAGAGGGACACCAGGACAGAUGGACAGAGGGACAGAGGGACAGAUGGACAGAGGGACGGACAGGGGGACAGACAGAGGGACAGUGGGACACCAGGACAGACAGAUGGACACGGGGACAGGGAGGGACAGACGGACACCGGGAUGGACAGACACGGGGACAGAGGGACAGAGGGACAGAGGGACAGACGGACACGGGGACAGAGGGACACAGGGACAAGGGCAUGGACACGGGGACAGGGAGGGACAGAGGGACAGAGGGACAUGGGGACAGACGGACGGACACGGGGACAGGGAGGGACAGAGGGACACGGGGACAGACGGACAGAGGGACAGGACAGGACAGGACAGACGGACGCUGUCAGGGAUCCCGAGGCCCCCUUUGGAUUCCGGGGCCCCCCAU
RNAcentral lists this long non-coding RNA (2181 nucleotides) under Junco hyemalis (dark-eyed junco). RNAcentral's name for it is "lncRNA (ENSJHYG00000010763.1)". Lineage: Eukaryota; Metazoa; Chordata; Aves; Passeriformes; Passerellidae. The record is from RNAcentral.